Molecule: transfer RNA, 73 nt
Filed under: Diaphorina citri (Asian citrus psyllid)
Lineage: Eukaryota; Metazoa; Arthropoda; Insecta; Hemiptera; Psyllidae
Rfam family: tRNA
About the family: Transfer RNA (tRNA) molecules are approximately 80 nucleotides in length. Their secondary structure includes four short double-helical elements and three loops (D, anti-codon, and T loops). Further hydrogen bonds mediate the characteristic L-shaped molecular structure. tRNAs have two regions of fundamental functional importance: the anti-codon, which is responsible for specific mRNA codon recognition, and the 3' end, to which the tRNAs corresponding amino acid is attached (by aminoacyl-tRNA synthetases). tRNAs cope with the degeneracy of the genetic code in two manners: having more than one tRNA (with a specific anti-codon) for a particular amino acid; and 'wobble' base-pairing, i.e. permitting non-standard base-pairing at the 3rd anti-codon position.
Source: Rfam by way of RNAcentral
GCCUAGUUAGCUUAGUUGAUAGUGCGUCUGCCUUGUAAGCGCUAGGCCGCGGGUUCGAUUCCCGCCCGGGGCU